CCUCAAUGAUACUGGGUGUUGAGACUUUAUUUUUGACAGUAUAUCAGAAGCAAUAAAGCCACAUCCUCAACCCUACUUCUUGCAGUGUUCAUGACUGGGUGCAGCAACUAAUUAAGUAAGCCCAAAUAGUGUCAAUGGGAGGGAAAACAGAGGUGGCAUAGUGUUCUGUUAUGCUCAUUCAUUUAGUACUUCUUUAGCACAGAUAGAUGCUUUUGGCCAUGAUGGUCUAAUUAGCUUAAGAAUUGUUUCUAUUAUUUUAAAGGCUUUGCUUGAAGGAUAAAAGUAAAGACAAAGCAGACAAAAGUAUAUUUUUAAAUUGUCUAUAAUGGAUUAACAGUUAUCAGAGUAAAUAACAAUGUCUCUUAUUUUCUGAAAUGGCUUUAUUAAAAUAACAUCUUCAAAAUAACUAGAAAUUGAGAUAAAUGUGUAAGGUGAGAAAAGUUUUAUAUGUAUCCAGUUGACUUCCAUUUAAAGUAGAAUGAGAGAAUGUUUUGCCUAUGUUCUCUUCCUGGAGUUUGAUGGUGUCUUGUCUUAUAUUUAAGUCUUUAAGCCAUUCUGAGGUUAUUUUAGUGCAUGGUGUGGUGGUGUGUUCUAGUUUCAUUGAUUUGCAUGCAGCUGUCCAGGUUUCCCAGCAAUUCUUGCUGAAAAGACUGUCUUUUUUCCCAUUUUAUGUUCUUGCCUCCCUUGUCAAAGAUUAAUUGACCAUAGGUGUCUGGGUUUAUUUCUGGGUUCUCUAUUCUGUUCCAUUGGUCUGUCUGUUUUGGUACCAGUACCACACUGUCUUGAUGACUGUGGCUUUGUAACAUUGCUCGAAGUCUGGGAGAGUUAUGCCUCCUGCUUGGUUUUUGUUCUUCAGAAUUGCUUUGGCAAUUCUGGGUCUUUUGUGAUUCCAUAUAAAUUUUCGGAUGGUUUGUUCUAGUUCUGUGAAAAACAUCAUGGGUAAUUGGAGAGGGAUUGCAUUGAAUCUGUAGAUUGCUCUGGGUAUAUGGCCAUUUUUACAAUAUUAAUUUUUCCAACCCAGGAACAUGGAAUAUCUCUCCAUUUCAUUACAUCUUCUUUAAUUUCCUUGAUUAAUGUUUUAUAGUUCUCAGCAUAUAAGUCUUUUACCUCCUUGGUCAGAUGUAUUCCUAGCUAUUUGAUUUUUGGGGUAUGAUUUUAAAAGGUAUUGUAUUUUUGUAUUCCUUUUCUAAUAUUUCAUUGUUAGUAUACAGAAAUGUGACUGAUUUCUGAAUGUCAAUCUUAUAUUCUGCUACUUUGCUGAAUUUGUUGAUCAGUUCAAGUAGUUUUUGGGUUGAGUCCUUGGGGUUUUCUAUAUAUAGUGUCACGUCAUCUGUAUACAGUGACUAUUGCCUUUGGAAUGGAUUAGCAAAGAGAUCUUGCUGUGUAGCACUGGGAACUAUGUCUGAUCACUUAUGAUGGAGCAUAAUAAUGUGAGAAAAAGAAUGUACAUAUGUAUGCGUGACUGGGUCACCUUGCUGUAUAGUAGAAAAUUGACAGAACACUGUAAACCAGCUAUGAUGGAAAAAAUAAAAAUCAUUAUAUAAAAAAAUAAAGUUGAAUCAAAUAAGUUUAUAACAAAUACCCUUACAAACUCAAUAAAGAGUUUGUAUAGUAAACUAUUACACUGCAGCUUUGUAAAAGUGAGAAUUCUUUACUUAAUACACAUUACACUUAUUUCUUAGGGAUUUUGUCCUACAAAAGUUUUUUAGGAGUACCCAAACUAUCAUAUUAAUGGAAAGUAAAGGGAAAUGUUUCUUUUUCUCACCAUCUCUCACAAAUGGAAUUCCUAAGUAAUAAGCUGCAGAAACAUACCAUUCAGCUUAAAAAUUUUUAGGUCAAAUGACCCAGCAUGUGUGGUGAUACAUGUGCAGUGAAAACUGUACAGAACAGGAUACAGUAACUCUGUAUAGCUCUACCCAGAUGCAAGCAGUUGAGACUCUAUUUUCAGUACAAAUCCCAUGUUCGACUUUAAAAGAGUAGUUACAAGUAGCUGUAGAAUGUAUGUUCUGUGCUAUCAUUAAUUCAUGUGGUCAAAAUGCUGCCGAGCUGGCAGAUAAGAGCAGCCCAAAGCCUAACUCUCAUAACUCUGGUAAUGAUCACUGGGGUACACAAAUAUCUUCAAGUCACAUAAUUGUGGUGAUCUCAGUGUGCUCCGUUCUGGUGGACUGUUGCCCAUACCACUAAAUCAGCAUUCGCAGCACCAUGCACAUAUGGCACAGUUGGAGUUCAGUGGGAGCCUAGGACUUUGUUCACUUGGGGGCCAAGUCACUCUUAACCUCCAUAAAAGGCAUCCUUUAAAGAAUAGGGUAAAGGUCACUUCAGCUCAUGCCAAGUGUAAAAAUGAGAACUACAGACAGGAAACACUGUUCAGAUGUUGUAGGGCUGUAGGCCUGUUUUAUGUCUGCUCUGAGCCCUCUGCAGCUAUAGGAGACCAAAGACAUACUCGCCAUCCCUAUUUAUUCUAGGUUAGCAGCCAAAUGGGUCCAGACAUUAAAAGCAGGGGAAAUCAGGGACUAAUCAGGAAUUGCCUGUCUCAGAGGUAUGACAUGAAAUAUUGCAGUAAGAAAUUGUGUGAUUGGAACUGUGACUGUGAUGUGUU
Molecule: long non-coding RNA, 2599 nt
Filed under: Sus scrofa (pig)
Lineage: Eukaryota; Metazoa; Chordata; Mammalia; Artiodactyla; Suidae
Description: lncRNA (ENSSSCG00065060460.1)
Source: RNAcentral